RNAcentral lists this ribosomal RNA (253 nucleotides) under uncultured bacterium. RNAcentral's name for it is "partial 16S ribosomal RNA". It matches the Rfam family "Bacterial small subunit ribosomal RNA", at positions 526 to 779 of the family's 1533-position model. The record is from RNAcentral.
CGUAGGUGGCGAGCGUUGUCCGGAAUUACUGGGUGUAAAGGGCGUGUAGGCGGGUAUGCAAGUCAGAUGUGAAACCCCACGGCUCAACCGUGGGCUUGCAUCUGAAACUGUAUAUCUUGAGUGUUGGAGAGGGAAGCGGAAUUCCUAGUGUAGCGGUGAAAUGCGUAGAGAUUAGGAGGAACACCAGUGGCGAAGGCGGCUUCCUGGCCAACAACUGACGCUGAGGCGCGAAAGCGUGGGAGCAAACAGGAUU